UGCCAUGACCUUUUUGGAUUUCUUUUCUCC
This 30-nucleotide non-coding RNA is filed under the name Mus musculus (house mouse). Lineage: Eukaryota; Metazoa; Chordata; Mammalia; Rodentia; Muridae. The record is from RNAcentral.